CCUACGGGAGGCAGCAGUAGGGAAUAUUGCUCAAUGGGGGAAACCCUGAAGCAGCAACGCCGCGUGGAGGAUGAAGGUUUUAGGAUUGUAAACUCCUUUUGUUAGGGAAGAUUAUGACGGUAUCUAACGAAUAAGCAACGGCUAACUCCGUGCCAGCAGCCGCGGUAAUACGGAGGGUGCAAGCGUUCAUCGGAAUCACUGGGCGUAAAGAGUGCGUAGGCGGUGUAAUAAGUCAGAUGUGAAAUCCUGUAGCUUAAUGAAAGAACUGCAUUUGAAACUGGUACUCUGGAGUGUGGGAGAGGUAGGUGGAAUUCUUGGUGUAGGGGUAAAAUGCGUAGAGAUCAAGAGGAAUACUCGUGGCGAAGGCGACCUGCUGGAACAUUACUGACGCUGAGGCACGAAAGCGUGGGGAGCAAACAGGAUUAGAUACCCCUGUAGUC
RNAcentral lists this ribosomal RNA (440 nucleotides) under uncultured bacterium. RNAcentral describes it as "partial 16S ribosomal RNA". It matches the Rfam family "Bacterial small subunit ribosomal RNA", at positions 338 to 795 of the family's 1533-position model. The record is from RNAcentral.